This 252-nucleotide long non-coding RNA is filed under the name Homo sapiens (human). RNAcentral describes it as "long non-coding RNA NONHSAT177132". The record is from RNAcentral. Lineage: Eukaryota; Metazoa; Chordata; Mammalia; Primates; Hominidae.
CUGGAUCCAUCAGGCACACAAAAAACACUCUCCAGCUCUCUCCCCGAAGUGGAGCAGACAAAAGUGCUGUUGAUGCUGAAGCUGCAGAAAGCUUCAGAAGGCCCCGUGGGAGGAAGCUUGGCACGAGAGGCGAGCAGCUCCAACUGACCCUGGAAGGGAGCAGCAGGCUGGGGUGAGAUCCAGACUCCGCUCAGAUCGGAAUGCCUGCACCCUUUGCCUUGCCUCACUGUGAAGGAGAGAAACGGUCUGCCU